UAUCUGAUAUAGAUCGCGUGAGAUGAGCUUGUGGCGGAACAAAUAACUGCGGAUAAAGAUGGUGAUAAAGGUUCCGAAGGAUUUAAGGAUAGCAGGGCGAGAGAGCACGUUGGACGAGGCCGAUGGCUGCGGUAUAGGGCGAGGCUGGUGGCUACAAUAAAGAGCGCUUCCAGUGAAGGCGAUGGCUUCGGUAGAACCAGAGAAGAAAUAAGAAGAUAAUAAAAUUACACAGUUAAGAUGAAGUUAUAUUGUUUCAAAAAAAUUACACCAUUUGAGACGAAAAUUGCACUUUUUGAAAUAAAAUUACACUGUUCGAGUGAAAAUUAUAUUGUUUGAGACAAAAAUUAUACUGUUUGAACGAAAAUUAUACUAUUUAAAAUUAUUUAAGACUAUGUUAUACUAUACAAGAUAGAUGUUGCAUCGUUUAAGACUAAAUUGUACUAUUUGAAACUAAGUUACAA
RNAcentral lists this long non-coding RNA (461 nucleotides) under Ananas comosus (pineapple). Its description in RNAcentral is "long non-coding RNA (ACOM_LNC025566)". Lineage: Eukaryota; Viridiplantae; Streptophyta; Magnoliopsida; Poales; Bromeliaceae. The record is from RNAcentral.